GGCACUCAAACACUGAGCCACACGGGCUGGGCUCCAGCAAUGGAUCUGAUACAAUCUAGUACAUGAAGAUAUUCCAAUGCCCUGAAGGCCCGAAUAUACACAUAAAAUGCUGUCACCUCCCUCCUCUGCCCCCAGUAUCCCUGCUCCUCUGCUGAAUUCUCCCACUUCACUGAGGACAGUCAGGCUCCACACAAGGCUCCACACAACCCCUGCUCCAGACUUGACUUUCACUAGCUACAUUCUGGAAGAUUGCUCCGGUGGGUUUUUGGCUGGCCUUCUUUGCCUAUAGCGCCUUAUUUUCCAGUGCUAAUGGAACAGCAAACCUGUACUUCUCUACUAAUCAGAUGAAGACUCUCAGAAUAAAAAUAAUUACAUUAAUCUAGGUUAAUAAAAGCUUAGCUGAAUUUAUACAAAUUCUGUUGUAUGCUGUGAUCAUGUUGUGGUGCUGGAUAUAAUGAUCACAAUGCCUGCAUUCUCAUACCU
This is a long non-coding RNA of Myotis brandtii (Brandt's bat), 483 nucleotides long. RefSeq lists it as uncharacterized. The transcript has 4 exons. The record is from RefSeq and is a predicted model, not a curated record. Lineage: Eukaryota; Metazoa; Chordata; Mammalia; Chiroptera; Vespertilionidae.